Molecule: ribosomal RNA, 408 nt
Filed under: uncultured bacterium
Lineage: Bacteria
Description: partial 16S ribosomal RNA
Rfam family: Bacterial small subunit ribosomal RNA
Source: RNAcentral
UGGGGAAUCUUCCGCAAUGGACGAAAGUCUGACGGAGCAACGCCGCGUGUAUGAUGAAGGUCUUCGGAUUGUAAAGUACUGUCAUUGGGGAAGAACGGUUUUCUUGAGAAUAUUGAGAAGACAUGACGGUACCCAAGGAGGAAGCCCCGGCUAACUACGUGCCAGCAGCCGCGGUAAUACGUAGGGGGCAAGCGUUGUCCGGAAAUUAUUGGGCGUAAAGGGCGCGUAGGCGGGCCUUUAAGUCCGGUGUGAAAGAUCAGGGCUCAACCCUGAGAGUGCAUCGGAAACUGGAGGCCUUGAGGACAGGAGAGGAAAGUGGAAUUCCACGUGUAGCGGUGAAAUGCGUAGAUAUGUGGAGGAACACCAGUGGCGAAGGCGACUUUCUGGACUGUAACUGACGCUGAGGCG